CUGGUUGAUCCUGCCGGGGUCGUGAGAUCGAUGCACGUGAUGGCGCGCAGCAACCACGCUGCCUGCCAGUCUUUCUUGACCGUGCGUCGAGCCACAAGCGUCGCGGCACGUCUUUCUACAGCGCUGCGGUUGACUCUCACCUGCCGCACCCAAUCCGUAUCAAGCUGCAUGCCUGGAUUUCGGACAGGUCGCUGGACCGCCUCGCGCUCGAGGGUGGCCGCCAUGUAUGACCCCCUGCUCGUUGUUCGAGUUCUGUGCCCUUAGCUUACGACGUACGCGAGCUGAGGGCUACCCCUUGACAGCCGCGACAAACGCCGCGAUCUUGUCGAGAUCCUUCUCACCAUUGGUUUCGACACCGCUGCUAACAUCCACGCCCCAGGGGCGCAUGGACCGAAUGGCCGCAUCCACAUUGCCGGCAUGCAGGCCGCCGGCGACGAGGACAGGACGGUUGAGGACCGGCAACAGUGACCAAUCAAAUGUCUCCCCUGUUCCACCGUAUGAGCCCGCGCGAGCGGUAUCGAGAAGCACGAGAUCGGAGGGCAAGUCUGGU
Molecule: ribosomal RNA, 550 nt
Filed under: uncultured eukaryote
Lineage: Eukaryota
Description: partial 18S ribosomal RNA
Source: RNAcentral